RNAcentral lists this transfer RNA (72 nucleotides) under Verrucomicrobiota bacterium. Its description in RNAcentral is "Verrucomicrobia bacterium (rhizosphere metagenome) tRNA-Cys". It matches the Rfam family "tRNA". From Rfam's summary of the family: Transfer RNA (tRNA) molecules are approximately 80 nucleotides in length. Their secondary structure includes four short double-helical elements and three loops (D, anti-codon, and T loops). Further hydrogen bonds mediate the characteristic L-shaped molecular structure. tRNAs have two regions of fundamental functional importance: the anti-codon, which is responsible for specific mRNA codon recognition, and the 3' end, to which the tRNAs corresponding amino acid is attached (by aminoacyl-tRNA synthetases). tRNAs cope with the degeneracy of the genetic code in two manners: having more than one tRNA (with a specific anti-codon) for a particular amino acid; and 'wobble' base-pairing, i.e. permitting non-standard base-pairing at the 3rd anti-codon position. Lineage: Bacteria; Pseudomonadati; Verrucomicrobiota. The record is from RNAcentral.
GGCGGGGUAGCCAAGUGGUAAGGCCGAGGUCUGCAAAACCUCUAUUCGCGGGUUCGAUUCCCGACCCCGCCU